RNAcentral lists this ribosomal RNA (253 nucleotides) under uncultured bacterium. Its description in RNAcentral is "partial 16S ribosomal RNA". It matches the Rfam family "Bacterial small subunit ribosomal RNA", at positions 524 to 776 of the family's 1533-position model. The record is from RNAcentral.
UACAGAGGGUGCGAGCGUUAAUCGGAAUUACUGGGCGUAAAGCGUGCGCAGACGGUUGCGUAAGUCAGAUGUGAAAGCCCCGGGCUCAACCUGGGAAUUGCAUUUGAGACUGCGUAGCUAGGGUGCGGAAGAGGGAAGCGGAAUUUCCGGUGUAGCGGUGAAAUGCGUAGAUAUCGGAAGGAACACCAGUGGCGAAGGCGGCUCACUGGACUGGUAUUGACGCUGAGGUGCGAAAGCGUGGGGAGCAAACAGG